AAUAAGAAGCUUGCUUUUUGUUGGUUAGCGGCGGACGGGUGAGUAACACGUGGGUAACCUGCCUGUAAGACCGGGAUAACUCCGGGAAACCGGUGCUAAUACCGGAUAGAUUAUCUUUCCACCUGGAGAGAUAAGGAAAGAUGGCUUUUGCCAUCACUUACAGAUGGGCCCGCGGCGCAUUAGCUAGUUGGUGAGGUAACGGCUCACCAAGGCGACGAUGCGUAGCCGACCUGAGAGGGUGAUCGGCCACACUGGGACUGAGACACGGCCCAGACUCCUACGGGAGGCAGCAGUAGGGAAUCUUCCGCAAUGGACGGAAGUCUGACGGAGCAACGCCGCGUGAGCGAAGAAGGUCUUCGGAUCGUAAAGCUCUGUUGUUAGGGAAGAACAAGUAUCGGAGGAAAUGCCGGUACCUUGACGGUACCUGACGAGAAAGCCACGGCUAACUACGUGCCAGCAGCCGCGGUAAUACGUAGGUGGCAAGCGUUGUCCGGAUUUAUUGGGCGUAAAGCGCGCGCAGGCGGUCCUUUAAGUCUGAUGUGAAAUC
RNAcentral lists this ribosomal RNA (547 nucleotides) under uncultured bacterium. RNAcentral describes it as "bacterial SSU rRNA". It matches the Rfam family "Bacterial small subunit ribosomal RNA", at positions 70 to 601 of the family's 1533-position model. The record is from RNAcentral.